RNAcentral lists this ribosomal RNA (428 nucleotides) under Gemmatimonadota bacterium. RNAcentral's name for it is "Gemmatimonadetes bacterium partial 16S ribosomal RNA". It matches the Rfam family "Bacterial small subunit ribosomal RNA", at positions 355 to 776 of the family's 1533-position model. The record is from RNAcentral. Lineage: Bacteria; Pseudomonadati; Gemmatimonadota.
UAGGGAAUCUUCGGCAAUGGACGAAAGUCUGACCGAGCAACGCCGCGUGAGUGAAGAAGGUUUUCGGAUCGUAAAACUCUGUUGUUAGAGAAGAACAAGGACGUUAGUAACUGAACGUCCCCUGACGGUAUCUAACCAGAAAGCCACGGCUAACUACGUGCCAGCAGCCGCGGUAAUACGUAGGUGGCAAGCGUUGUCCGGAUUUAUUGGGCGUAAAGCGAGCGCAGGCGGUUUCUUAAGUCUGAUGUGAAAGCCCCGGCUCAACCGGGGAGGGUCAUUGGAAACUGGGAGACUUGAGUGCAGAAGAGGAGAGUGGAAUUCCAUGUGUAGCAGUGAAAUGCGUAGAUAUAUGGAGGAACACCAGUGGCGAAGGCGGCUCUCUGGUCUGUAACUGACGCUGAGGCUCGAAAGCGUGGGGAGCAAACAGG